GGUGUCCGCGCGGUCAGUGGCGGCUUAAGGAGAGUGGCUGCCGCCAUGAUAGAACAGCAGAAGCGAAAGGGUCCAGAGUUGCCGCUGGUCCCAGUCAAGCGGCCGCGGCAUGAAUUGCUAUUGGGAGCGGCGGGGUCGGGCCCCGGAGCCGGGCAGCAGCAGGCGGCGCCGGGAGCUUUGCUGCAAGCGGGGCCUCCAAGAUGUUCCUCCCUUCAAGCCCCAAUCAUGCUUCUCUCAGGACAUGAAGGGGAAGUGUAUUGCUGCAAGUUUCACCCCAAUGGAUCCACCUUAGCAUCUGCAGGAUUUGACCGACUGAUAUUGUUGUGGAAUGUCUAUGGUGACUGCGAUAACUAUGCUACAUUGAAGGGACACAGUGGAGCAGUGAUGGAACUGCAUUAUAACACAGACGGCAGUAUGCUCUUCUCAGCAUCCACAGAUAAAACUGUGGCGGUGUGGGAUAGUGAAACAGGCGAGAGGGUUAAAAGACUGAAGGGGCACACUUCCUUUGUGAAUUCCUGUUAUCCGGCCAGGAGGGGUCCCCAGCUUGUCUGCACUGGCAGUGACGACGGUACAGUUAAGCUUUGGGACAUCCGUAAGAAAGCAGCGAUCCAGACAUUUCAGAACACCUACCAAGUGUUAGCUGUGACCUUCAAUGACACAAGUGAUCAGAUUAUUUCUGGUGGAAUAGACAACGAUAUCAAGGUCUGGGACCUGCGCCAAAAUAAGCUGACCUACACGAUGAGAGGCCAUGCAGAUUCAGUGACUGGCCUGAGUUUAAGCUCUGAAGGCUCUUAUCUCUUGUCCAAUGCAAUGGACAAUACAGUGCGGGUCUGGGAUGUCCGGCCGUUUGCUCCCAAAGAAAGGUGUGUGAAGAUAUUUCAAGGAAAUGUGCACAACUUUGAAAAGAAUCUUCUGAGAUGUUCUUGGUCACCUGAUGGAAGCAAGAUAGCAGCUGGCUCAGCCGACAGGUUUCUAAAGAAGACCUCGAAAAACAGGCCCACAGCCUAAGAUGUCUUACAUUCUGACAGAGUAAGAACCAUUCUAAGUAUUUUUACAUGAUUUUCAGCAGAGAUGUAUCUUUCCUAUGUAAUUAAGCUUUUUAAAUGAUAUCUGCCUAGCUUUUCUUCUGAGCAGUUUGUUUCUGACAUUGGUUCUUUCUAACUUUCAAUGUCCUCUCUUCCCUCUUUCCCUCCCCACUGUUCCUUUAAGCCUUACAUGUGGAAGCAUGGCUCUGGUCUAGGAAGAGCCUGUAUGUCUACCUGCUGAGGGUUGGCCACAUUUCACAGGCCACCUCACCAAUUAGCCCCAAGUCAACAAGCAGCUCUGUUACAUGAGGAGCCUGGUUCCUGCCAAAUGUUGCCAUGCCAGAGUAAGGAGAGGAUAAGGAACUCCUCUAAAUUUAGCAUCUAAUUGGCAGCCAUGGAGAGUGAGGCCUCAAAGUAAACCCUUGGAGAGCUGGGGUUCUGCUGGCUUUUAUGUGCCUGGAAAAUGUAUUGUUCCUUCUCAGAAAACUGCUUUUCAGCUUGGCCUGAAUUUGGCAAAUUUCCCCUCCCUACUUGCAAUUCACCUACCUCCUCAUGUUCAGAUUUGAAACCCUUCAACAGUUCCUAUCAAGGACUACAAGAAGACUGGUCAGUCUCUCUGCUGUGAGUGAUUUAUUCAUAUUCAGCCUGUUGAUUUCAUGUGAUUCUGUUUUGAUCAUUUAUUUAUUCAUCAUAACAAUAGCUAUCAUUAAUUCUGUGUGCCAGGCACUUUGCAUACAUUAUUUCAUUAUUUCUCUCAACAGAGCUGUGAGAUCAACAUUGUCUCCAUCAUUACUCCAUCAUUUGACUAAGGAAAGAGAAGCUCAGAGAAGUUAAAUGAAUGUCUAAGGUUAUUUAACUAUUAAAUAGUUGCAUUGAGACUUGAACCCAGAACUUAUACACUUUUUCAAUAGGCCACAUAGCCUUAGAUGGAUUAAUGAGGACAGUUAUUAUGCAUGGCAAGAAAGAAGACACUGAGGAAAAUAUGAGCAUUAGAGACAAGGAGUCUGUAGACAGAUGGGGUUCCUUCUCUUCCACCUUGUGUGGAACUUUUAUUUAGUUCCUAUGGAGCCUAGCCCUUGUGAGCUAAACAGUGUAAUUAAGAAGCUCUUGUUUAUUUGCAUUUUAGACCAAAAGUGUAAUGUUGUUCAGAACUAGGUAUUUUAUAAUCAAGUGCUGAUGAGUGUACCCUUUUAGGUCUUGAUUGAACAAAACAAAUAUGUAAAUAAUUGGUAUAACCUGUUUGAAAACCACCAGCCUUUUAAAUUUACCAACAGAUUGUCUUUGCAUGGUCAUAUGAAAAUAAUAUCUAUUUAUUUUACUUUCAGCUUAAAAUGACCCAAGCAAGGCUGAGGGUCAAAGGAACUUCUUUUGGCAGGGGUCGGGGGAGGAGUGGAGGAUGGCAAGGGACACAAGAUAUUUGAGGGUGGUAAGAGAAAGAAUACUGGAAUAUAUUAAGCGGUCUAAUUUUAAUUCUGCCACUGAGCCACUGAUGAACUGUGUAACCUUGGAAAAGUCACUGUACCUUAGUUUUCUUUUCUGUAAAAUGAGUUUAGACUAGCUGGUUUCUGUUGGCCCCUUCCCGUGCUAGAAUUCAGUAUUCUUUCUGUCCAUGAAUUCAAUGCAAGAUUUGGAUCAAGCGUAUGUUUGGGUUUUGUUUAUAUAGCAGAAAUGUCCUGUCCGUCUCUGGGCUCUGUGAUUUGAAUACAGUACUAAGAAGUUCAGGUGGAUCUACAGCCUAGUCUCCCAACCUGCCAUGAGUUGGGUUACCUUUAAGACAUUCCUAGGUGCAUAUGAAGUUAACUACACCCUAAUUAUAUUGGGUGCUCUUUAAAGAAGAUUUCUGUGUAGGAUCUGUAGGAAAAACCGUUUGUCUUCUCCAUGAUCUUUCCUAUUUCGGAAGCUUGUGUUUGAAAAUACCAGCAAUGCUGAUAUUUUUAGCUAUUCCUAUUUCUCCACUCAGUUGCUCAAGAGCAGGAUCCAUGCCUUAUUUAAAAUCUAUAUUCCUAGUUUCUAAACGUCAGAGCACAGUUCAAUAAAUACAGAUUGAAUAAAUAAAGGGUUGCUUCCGUUUCCCUUAAAAAGCCAUGCUUCUCCCCUACCCUCAGUUCUGGGAGGCCUUAGCCUUGCUCUUCAUGAUACCUUGCAGGUUUGUGUAUGUGUGGGAUACCACAAGCAGGAGGAUUUUGUAUAAGCUACCCGGCCACGCUGGCUCCAUCAAUGAAGUGGCUUUCCACCCCGACGAACCCAUCAUUCUCUCAGCAUCCAGUGACAAGAGACUAUAUAUGGGAGAGAUUCAGUGAAGAUAUGGAGUGGAAGACUCCACAAGGCUGCUUGACCCUGAGACCUCAGACAGCAUAAGUGGCAUCAAAUGAUGCCCAAGCCAGCAUCCUCCCUUCAGAUGAAGAUCAUUACUAGCAAGAAACAAGGAGGAGGUGGCCAUAUUCCAGCAACCACAACUAUCCCAGUAUCCUAUUUCAUCAGGAUGAUUAAGGCAACCUUACAGUGGCCUCUUAAAACCACCUGCCAGAUUUCAGGGAUUGAUUUUUUUUUUUCCUCUUUUUUUUUUUUUUUUUAAGUAAGGUUUCUUCAAAGGGACACACAUUGGUUGGUGCAUAGUCUCCUGUUUCCUAAUUUAGGCUGAAGACAGGAAAUGUGACCGAAAUUUAUUCAUUGGGGAUUUUUUUUUUUAAUUCAAUAACUUGUAUGAUAUUCUCUUUCUUUGUUUCUCUGACUCAUUUUGUAUUAAAAGCCAAAUAGAUGCCUUUUUACAAGA
RNA transcript from Balaenoptera musculus (blue whale), 3798 nucleotides. It is a transcript of the gene named small nuclear ribonucleoprotein U5 subunit 40, with no coding region annotated. The transcript has 10 exons. The record is from RefSeq and is a predicted model, not a curated record. Lineage: Eukaryota; Metazoa; Chordata; Mammalia; Artiodactyla; Balaenopteridae.